RNAcentral lists this transfer RNA (66 nucleotides) under Sclomina guangxiensis. RNAcentral describes it as "tRNA-Pro". The record is from RNAcentral. Lineage: Eukaryota; Metazoa; Arthropoda; Insecta; Hemiptera; Reduviidae.
CAGUGAAUAGUUUAAUUAAAACAUUAAUUUUGGAGAUUAAUAAUGGGAGAAAAUUCUCUUUACUGA